RNA transcript from Balaenoptera musculus (blue whale), 1830 nucleotides. It is a transcript of the gene named heterogeneous nuclear ribonucleoprotein D like, with no coding region annotated. The transcript has 9 exons. The record is from RefSeq and is a predicted model, not a curated record. Lineage: Eukaryota; Metazoa; Chordata; Mammalia; Artiodactyla; Balaenopteridae.
UGCUGGGAGUGGGCUGGACCGGACGCCAGAGACAAAGGCUCUCAAGGCAAGAGGGGCUGUGACGCUGCUCGGGAUUUUUGGCCCAGGACUUUUCGCCCCUUCGUUUUUCUCUUCUGACGCUCUUUUCCCAAGCCCGCGUCCCCUCACCCGCGACCUCGCUCCUCAGCGGAAGGACCGCGAUGGAGGUCCCGCCCCGGCUUUCCCAUGUGCCGCCGCCAUUGUUCCCCUCCGCUCCCGCUACUUUAGCCUCCCGCAGCCUCUCCCAUUGGCGGCCGAGGGCGCCGCGGCAGCUCGCCCCGCUCCUCCCUUCGCUCGCUCCCAGCUCCGCCCGGCAGGGGACGCGCCGGGCCCAGCGCCACGUCACCGCCCAGCAGCCCUCCCGAUUGGCGGGCGGGGCGGCUAUAAAGGGAGGGCGCAGGCGGCGCCCGGAUCUCUUCCGCCGCCAUUUUAAAUCCAGUUCCAUACAACGUUCUGCCGCCGCUGCUUCCGCGACACGGAUUGCGCGCCAGCGCCUCCCGGCCGACAACUCAGCCGCUAUGGAAGACAUGAACGAGUACAGCAACAUAGAGGAAUUCGCAGAGGGAUCCAAGAUCAACGCGAGCAAGAAUCAGCAGGAUGACGGUAAAAUGUUUAUUGGAGGCUUGAGCUGGGAUACAAGCAAGAAAGAUCUGACUGAAUAUUUGUCUCGAUUUGGGGAAGUUGUAGACUGCACAAUUAAAACAGAUCCAGUCACUGGAAGAUCAAGAGGAUUUGGAUUUGUGCUUUUCAAAGAUGCUGCUAGUGUUGAUAAGGUUUUGGAAAUGAAAGAACACAAGCUGGAUGGCAAAUUGAUAGACCCUAAAAGAGCCAAAGCUUUAAAAGGGAAGGAACCCCCUAAAAAGGUUUUUGUGGGUGGAUUGAGUCCAGAUACUUCAGAAGAACAAAUUAAAGAAUAUUUUGGAGCCUUUGGAGAGAUUGAAAAUAUUGAACUUCCCAUGGAUACAAAAACAAAUGAAAGAAGAGGAUUUUGUUUUAUUACAUAUACAGACGAAGAGCCAGUAAAGAAAUUGUUAGAAAGCAGAUAUCAUCAAAUUGGUUCUGGGAAGUGUGAAAUCAAAGUUGCACAACCCAAAGAGGUAUAUAGGCAGCAACAGCAACAACAAAAAGGAGGAAGAGGUGCUGUAGCUGGUGGACGAGGUGGUACUAGGGGUCGUGGCCGAGGUCAGGGCCAAAACUGGAACCAAGGAUUUAAUAACUAUUAUGAUCAAGGAUAUGGAAAUUACAAUAGUGCCUAUGGUGGUGAUCAAAACUAUAGUGGCUAUGGCGGCUAUGAUUAUACUGGGUAUAACUAUGGGAACUAUGGAUAUGGACAGGGAUAUACAGACUACAGUGGCCAACAGAGCACUUACGGCAAGGCAUCUCGAGGGGGUGGCAAUCACCAAAAUAAUUACCAGCCAUACUAAAAGGGGACGUUGGAGAAAACAGCGGGAACUUCAUUGCAGGCCGUGUGUCACCCUGACCACGUCUAUCUCUGGGGGUCGCACGUUGCGGGCAGAGCGCAAGGCAUACACCAGAAAACGCUGUCCUGUGGAAGAGAUUGCUAAAGUAACCCAUCUUGCAGGACGACAGUGAAGAUUGGUCUUCUGUUGAUCUAAGAUGAUUAUUUUGUAAAAGACUUUCUAGUGUACAAGACACAACUGUGUCCAACUGUAUAUAGCUGCCAAUUAGUUUUUGUUUUUACCUUGUCUUUUGCUAUCUGUGUUAUGACUCGACGUGGAUUUGUGUUUAUACAAAUUUUAUUUGUAUGAUUUCAUGUUAAACCUCAAAUAAAUGCUUCCUUCUGUGAUUGUU